AACGUGGUCGUUGCGCAGUGAUCUGGUUGCAAAGAUCUUUCCACAAGUGUCCCGAUCACACUAAACAUAAAAUAAUUUUUGUUUUUUUAGAUACGAUUGUAAAUAUUACUAGUCUUUGAAAACAACGGUCUAAUAGCAUCUUAUUAACUAUAAUAAAGCGAGGACAUGAAAAAAGAACUUUUCACAAGUCAGCCAAAAUUUUAUAGUGUAAUGCGAGAGCCUAUUUUGUUGAUAAAAAAAAUUGUGUACACCAUUAGAAUGCCAAAGUAAUUUGGAUUCUUCAAUUUCGGAUUCUCUUUUACAAGCCCAGUGCAGGCUCAUUGCUGUGAAUACUACUGACAUGAAGCCAGCGUUCCCAUUUGCUUGGAUUCUCCCAUUGGUGCUAGUGGUUCGGACUGGAAGAUGAGAGUACAAGAUUAACUAUCUAGAGUGUGAUUGAUGUGGGCACGUGUAAGACUCAAGAGCUUCAUAAGCAAUUGAGAAUGGAUUCGGUCGACAAAUAAAUGGACGGUUCGAAGUAAUCAGGGUGAAUCUGAUGGCAUUGUUAGCAUGAUACACCAAUUAUUUCUAAUCAAUUUUGUAAGCAUAAUGUGUUACACAGGCUUAGACGAUAUGAAUGAGUAACCAAUGAUAAAUAUUUUUUACACACCG
This is a long non-coding RNA of Athalia rosae (coleseed sawfly), 651 nucleotides long. RefSeq lists it as uncharacterized. The transcript has 4 exons. Lineage: Eukaryota; Metazoa; Arthropoda; Insecta; Hymenoptera; Athaliidae. The record is from RefSeq and is a predicted model, not a curated record.